AGCGAACGCUGGCGGCAGGCUUAACACAUGCAAGUCGAGCGGGCCCUUCGGGGUCAGCGGCGGACGGGUGAGUAACGCGUGGGAACGUGCCUUCUGGUUCGGAAUAACUCAGGGAAACUUGAGCUAAUACCGGAUACGCCCUUUUGGGGAAAGGUUUACUGCCGGAAGAUCGGCCCGCGUCUGAUUAGCUAGUUGGUGGGGUAACGGCCUACCAAGGCGACGAUCAGUAGCUGGUCUGAGAGGAUGAUCAGCCACACUGGGACUGGGACACGGCCCAGACUCCUACGGGAGGCAGCAGUGGGGAAUAUGGGACAAUGGGCGCAAGCCUGAUCCAGCCAUGCCGCGUGAGUGAGGAGGCCUUAGGGUUGUAAAGCUCUUUUAUCCGGGACGAUAAUGACGGUACCGGAGGAAUAAGCCCCGGCUAACUUCGUG
RNAcentral lists this ribosomal RNA (432 nucleotides) under uncultured bacterium. RNAcentral's name for it is "partial 16S ribosomal RNA". It matches the Rfam family "Bacterial small subunit ribosomal RNA", at positions 29 to 507 of the family's 1533-position model. The record is from RNAcentral.